Haliotis rubra (blacklip abalone) is the source of this 516-nucleotide long non-coding RNA. RefSeq lists it as uncharacterized. The record is from RefSeq and is a predicted model, not a curated record. The transcript is spliced from 2 exons. Lineage: Eukaryota; Metazoa; Mollusca; Gastropoda; Lepetellida; Haliotidae.
UGACAUGAGUGUCAUCUGGUAAUUGUAUUCAUGUUGACAUGAGCUCCAUCUGUUAAUUGUAUGCAUGUUGACAUGAGUGUCGAUCUGUUAAUUGUAUGCAUGUUAACAUGACUUAAUUGUUAAAUGCAUGUAUUUUAAUAUGAGUUCCAUCUAUUAUCUGCAUUCAUGUAAAUAUUUGAGUGUCAACUGUAUGCAUGUCUAGUAUACUCAAAUGUAAAAGUACCACACACUGUGAUCCUGGAGACAUGCAUAACACUUCCACUUCUCAUGAUACAAUUACAGGAGAACAGCACAGAUAGCUUUAUUGUACAAUUGUUGCAUAUCUGGCCACCCAGAUAAAGAAUAUUCUUUUCAUCUUUUGGGAAUGCCUGUUCAUGCAUACAUGAUCUAAGUUGACAACAUGGAACAUGCCUGGCUACAAAGCCAACACUAUUUCAAAUGCACAUUCCUACAAACAAUUCACAUCCAUUUAAAAUGUUGAAACUUAUCUGAAAGUUUCUAUGGCUGUUCAUCUAA